UCCGUUGGCAAGGUUUACGUGCACAUGCACUUGUUUUGGGGAUUGUCAGCCCACCAUCUGUUGAAGUGGUGGACUCUGAGAUUGCGUUUAACUUAUUACCAUGAGUCAAGAAUUUUUGCAAUGCAAAAGCCUUUUCUUUCUCCGAUUUAAUCUGCCAUAGAGCUUUUGUGCAUUGAAAAUGGCUUACUGAGGAGCUUAGCUCAAAGUCUCCAUGUCCAUAAAGUGCGCCAUUGACAAGACUUUCUUGCAACUUUAUUUCUUUGUGAAUUUUAUUAAUUAACUCUGGAAGUUUCUCAGGCUUCCAAUCUUGAUUUAGUUAAGAUAAAUAAUAUGUUCUAAAACACAAGGAAAAGUAAUCUCAUAAUACAAUAAUUAAACGUAAUACUGGCUGUUAUUCAUAAUAGAUGAUAAAAUAUUAUGUAAAUAAUG
This 429-nucleotide long non-coding RNA is filed under the name Mytilus galloprovincialis (Mediterranean mussel). The record is from RNAcentral. Lineage: Eukaryota; Metazoa; Mollusca; Bivalvia; Mytilida; Mytilidae.